GAUGAACGCUAGCGGCAGGCCUAAUACAUGCAAGUCGAACGAUAUUAUCCAGCUUGCUGGAUAUGAAAGUGGCGCACGGGUGCGUAACGCGUAUGCAACCUACCUUAUUCAGGGGGAUAGCCCGAAGAGAUUCGGAUUAACACCGCAUAAAAUCACAGUUCAGCAUUGGACAAUGAUCAAAUAUUUAUGGGAAUAAGAUGGGCAUGCGUGUCAUUAGCUAGUUGGCGGGGUAACGGCCCACCAAGGCGACGAUGACUAGGGGAUCUGAGAGGAUGGCCCCCCACACUGGUACUGAGACACGGACCAGACUCCUACGGGAGGCAGCAGUAAGGAAUAUUGGUCAAUGGAGGGAACUCUGAACCAGCCAUGCCGCGUGCAGGAAGACGGCCCUCUGGGUUGUAAACUGCUUUUAUUCGGGAACAAACCUAUUUACGUGUAAAUAGCUGAAUGUACCGAAGGAAUAAGGAUCGGCUAACUCCGUGCCAGCAGCCGCAGUAA
Molecule: ribosomal RNA, 498 nt
Filed under: uncultured bacterium
Lineage: Bacteria
Description: partial 16S ribosomal RNA
Rfam family: Bacterial small subunit ribosomal RNA
Source: RNAcentral